GACAGAGGUGGCGAGCGUUGUUCGGAUUUAUUGGGCGUAAAGCGAACGCAGGUGGUUUGGUAAGUCAGGGGUGAAAGUCCGCAGCUUAACUGCGGCACUGCCUUUGAUACUGCCUUUCUUGAGUGCAUGAGGGGGAAGCGGAAUUCCGAGUGUAGAGGUGAAAUUCGUAGAUAUUCGGAGGAACACCGGUGGCGAAGGCGGCUUCCUGGCAUGUAACUGACACUCAUGUUCGAAAGCGUGGGUAGCAAAC
RNAcentral lists this ribosomal RNA (250 nucleotides) under uncultured bacterium. Its description in RNAcentral is "partial 16S ribosomal RNA". It matches the Rfam family "Bacterial small subunit ribosomal RNA", at positions 524 to 773 of the family's 1533-position model. The record is from RNAcentral.